UGCGCCGGUUCGCACGAGUUCUGGGUUUUGUUUUCUGGCUAGUGAGGAGGAACUACGUAUGUUCAAGCUUUGCUAAAGCUGGAGGAAGGGCGGAGAGCAUAAAUAUUUGAAGAAACACUGUAAAUUCUCCGGCAAACUUCCGACACGGCGUCCGGCCUUCCCCCGGCCCUCAGCGGGCACAGGGACACGGCCACAGCCCCGGCCCCGCCGCUAUUUCUGUGUGCAAAGUUAAGGCUGCGACCGACAAAAAAAAAAAAAAAAAAAAAAAAAAAAAAAAAAAAAAAAAAAAAACCCAAAGAAAAAAAAGCACGUGGAAAAACCUUAAGGUGGCCCGGGCGAGCUUAUCCCGGGCGGGAGCGGCUCGGAGCCCCCGGUGCCCUCACACGGCCCGGGGGUCCCGGCAGAACCGAGCCCCGGGACCCGCACCCGGCCCGCGGA
Molecule: long non-coding RNA, 438 nt
Organism: Oenanthe melanoleuca
Lineage: Eukaryota; Metazoa; Chordata; Aves; Passeriformes; Muscicapidae
Exons: 2
Source: RefSeq, a predicted model, not a curated record